Molecule: long non-coding RNA, 246 nt
Filed under: Dicentrarchus labrax (European seabass)
Lineage: Eukaryota; Metazoa; Chordata; Actinopteri; Moronidae
Description: lncRNA (ENSDLAG00005027651.1)
Source: RNAcentral
AUGGCAUACUCCCCCUCAACCUGUCCAAGGCAGGCAGACCGCACUACAUCAGCAGCGACACAGGGACUGCAACUGCUUUCUCAGAGGAGUACCAGCUCAUGGACCGAUACGGACCGUCUGUCACCCAACUUCACACUCAGAAGCUGUGAUUUGAGUGAGCUGAUGAAGCUCAGGUGUUCCUGGACCCAUCAGAGGACAGAGACAGCUGCAGCAUCAGGACAGUCUGGGUAUCCAAAGGAAGACUGA